UCGGGAAUUUUGGGCAAUGGGCGAAAGCCUGACCCAGCAACGCCGCGUGAAGGAUGAAGUAUUUCGGUAUGUAAACUUCGAAAGAAUGGGAAGAAUCAAUGACGGUACCAUUUAUAAGGUCCGGCUAACUACGUGCCAGCAGCCGCGGUAAUACGUAGGGACCAAGCGUUGUUCGGAUUUACUGGGCGUAAAGGGCGCGUAGGCGGCAUGACAAGUCACUUGUGAAAUCUCUGGGCUUAACCCAGAACGGCCAAGUGAUACUGUCGCGCUAGAGUGCAGAAGGGGCAAUCGGAAUUCUUGGUGUAGCGGUGAAAUGCGUAGAUAUCAAGAGGAACACCUGAGGUGAAGACGGGUUGCUGGGCUGACACUGACGCUGAGGCGCGAAAGCCAGGGGAGCAAACGGGAGUUAGAUACCCCUGUAGUCCCUGAGCGGGCUGGCAAGGCGCAU
Molecule: ribosomal RNA, 448 nt
Filed under: uncultured bacterium
Lineage: Bacteria
Description: bacterial SSU rRNA
Rfam family: Bacterial small subunit ribosomal RNA
Source: RNAcentral